AUGAAGAUGAUCAGGAGGAGCUUCAGACGAUCAGCUGUUGAUCCACACGUCCCACUGUGGAGCUCUAGUUCAGUAACUCAGGCCUGCCGUACGGCUGGGACGAGGCCUUCACUGCAGACGGAGUCAAAUACUACAUCAAGUAAGAGGAAGCACAAAGUUUCCAACCUCCUCUCCAUCGAUGGACUGGAGGUCCCGUUGUCUAAUGUGUUGAGGACGUUUCCUACAUAGAGAGAUCGGUGAUGUGAGUGUGGUAACGUUGGUGUCGUCGUGUGUCUUCGUGACAGUCACGUGACCCAGACGACGUCAUGGAGCCUUCCUGCGACGACCAGCAGCGGCACGGCGCCGCCUCCCACGCCCCCGGAGACCUCGGCGCCGGACGCGGAGGCGGCGGAGCGGAGACCCGGGGGCCCGUCCAUCGAGACGGAGAUGUAGACCUGCAGCCGUUUGUGUCGAGCUCCUGAAGCUCUGAGCGACGAAUCAUCAGCGAUUUACUGAAUCAGAUCAAACCAGCGAAACUUAAUAAUAAAACAUCUGUAAAACAACAUUAUUUUAUUUAUGUAUGAAUUCAUGU
This 571-nucleotide long non-coding RNA is filed under the name Scophthalmus maximus (turbot). RNAcentral describes it as "lncRNA (ENSSMAG00000036979.1)". Lineage: Eukaryota; Metazoa; Chordata; Actinopteri; Pleuronectiformes; Scophthalmidae. The record is from RNAcentral.